Long non-coding RNA from Gallus gallus (chicken), 4363 nucleotides. RefSeq lists it as uncharacterized. The transcript is spliced from 2 exons. Lineage: Eukaryota; Metazoa; Chordata; Aves; Galliformes; Phasianidae. The record is from RefSeq and is a predicted model, not a curated record.
GCUGCACUUUGAUCCCUGUGCAGGUUACUUACUAAAAUUCAGCAUUUCACAUUUGCCACUCUCGAAUGCCUGAAAAAAGCCUGCAUAUGAGCUCCUCGAGAAGAGUGCAGGGGGAAAAAGAAGCUGGUGAGUAGUGCUGACAGUGUGUACAAAACAAGAGAUGGGCAAGGACCUCCUGUGUCACCCUGACUGAAGACAAACCCAGUUUCCUGCACUCACUACUCACUCAGGAAUUCUUCAGCUUUCACCCAUGGGCAGUACUCCCCUUGGGAGCGUCUGCCAGCACAUAUUCAUCCAUCCUUUUCUGGAAGAUGCAGGGGUGGUUUGUUGUGACAAUCCAGCAUACCAUUUUAGCAUUUAGCAUUGAACCUCCUUUGCUAGGAGCAACAUACAGCACCACGUACUUCAAGAAAAACUCAAAACCCAGCCCAACCAACCAAUUAAAAAAAAACAACAAGCCCCUAAACCAACCAACCAAAAAUCCUUAAGGCAUUAACUACUGUUAAAUUUUCAUUAGCUAACGUUAAGCAAGCAAAACUCUGUUACAAAUGUAAGUUAUCCUUAAAACAAGAGUGGUUCCAGUACCAAACUCAAAGGAUCCACUGAUUUCAUGGUUUAGCAGCUGCAAAAAUUUGCUGGACCUGCAGAAAGGUCACAGACAACGUCUUGAGUGGGAAUGAGAAAUCACAAACCAAGCAGACUGAAACGUACUGGUCCUCUCUUCGCUUCUUGAAAACAUAUGGAGGAAAUUACCUUACGGGCCUGAGCGAGUGACAGAACAGCUCCGGCAGCGGCUGUAGGAGCAGUCUCCUCAGGCAGAAAUUGUCAUUUUUUGUCUCCAGAUCAGAGGUGAAUUACACACGAACUCCAGCCUUACAGCGCUCUGGGAUCACGGUGCCAGGUCACCACUCCUUGCCUGGAUUUCCAAUGGAGCAGCCAUUAGAGGACAUUUGGUUUCUUCUCUAUCGCGUGAUUGGAAAGAUUGGUGUUGAUUUUGAAGGCAAGAUCUGCGAACACAUAAAUCAAACCCAAGCAUUGGGCCCCACGGGCCAUGAAGGGACAAGAUGCUGCCUUUGAAAAGCAAACACACUGAUGGAGAAAGGCAUUCUAAAACUUGUGUGACAAACCAAUAGACAAGCUGUGCUGUCACCAAGUUUAGCAUUUUGUAUUUAGAGGUAUGAAACGUCAUGUCCCAGGUGGUUCCUCAGUCCUCACAUCUCUUCUGCAUCAGAAACAAAUAUGUGGAAACCUCUUCCUGAGAUAAGAAAGAAGCAACUUCAUGGCUUCUGGGGUAGUCUGCAUUUCCCUCUCUCUCGUGAGAGAGAAUGAAUUCAGUAGAGGCAGAGGCACACACAUGGUUUGUAUCUGUUACCAGAGGCUAAAUGCGAUGAAGCAGAAGACAGAAAUCUGACUCUAUGACAGAAGGAGAUGCCAAUGGAGGUAACUUAUACCCUCCAGAAAUAAGAGUGUCAUCUAAAGCUUACAAGUGAAUGAGAAUUAAUUAGCAGAUAAUUUACCUGUCAAUGUGAAACACCUCAGUGGGUUGAGGAAUCUCCAUGAGAGCUGACUCAAUGAGGCAGCAAGGGGAUGGCUGAGACUGCUGGGGAGACAAUAUUUUGUACUUAUUGAACCCAGGAGUAGGGAAAUAAGAGGUUCCAGGAAAUCCAUUUCCAAGCGGUUGCACUGCAGUACAACCGUGGAUGUUACUCAGUGCCAUUGUACUGCUAAUUAUAAACACCAUCUGAAGGAUGACUGGAGGUACUAACCACAUAUAGUCUACCAGCACCAACUUGGAGAGCAACGAAACAUUUCCUUACGAUUAAGCAUUAGAUGAUCUAGAUACAUCUGUGUUCCUUCACUGAGUUGAUUGAGCUGCAGAUUAUUUACACACCAACAUCAUCACAGAUACCUUAUAUCAGGUGAGAUCAACCCCAUGACCAUUAUCCAGUGCUUAUCCCAGACUCCUGACAUCCCAAUAGAUGCUGAACUGUCUUGAGAGAUGUUCUUUAAAGCAAAGCAACGCAAACACCUUUGUGGCCAUCACCUCUACCAGACAGAAGCAUAGGUCAUGUUCCCUGAAGUCAACAAAUGCGUUUCUUAGAACUUAAGAGCUUCUUGUGAUCCAUGCAAGUACAGCUAGGAGAGAAUCGAAUGAUUAAGAAGCAAAGGCUGAUUGCUCCCCACAGUAAAAUACAUCAAAGUUGGAAAAAAAAAUACAGGGUGGCAGCCACUUGACUUCAUGAUUUUUCACACUACUCCUACUGGAUGUGGAAGACUCUGUACACACACACACCCCCAUGGAAAGCACUAGGGCAGAAAUAAAGCUCCAGAUCACGAGCCCAGGUGGAUGCAUACCCAGGACAUAGAUGCAUACACAGAGCCGUUAGGAAAUUCACCUUCCUUAAUUCUUUAUUUCAUCAAAAAUUCCAGCUGUGCAACACAUUGUACUCUCACGCCUUACUCCAUACAUGAGACUGAAAGAUUCAGACUUGUAGAAAAUAGCAGACAACAUUUGGCAUAGCUGCUCUGUGCUGUGGAGCACCAGCCCUUGUACUCCGCAUUACACUGAAGUCUCUGCAGAGAGAAAGUGAUGACAAUGGGUCCCGACUGUACACAAACGCUGCGUCAAGACCAUACAUCUACCAAGUCAUUUUCUUACACAGAUGAGAGUUUUGAUGGGAACUCACCUAGGCUUUGGACAGUGAACUGCUUCUAAAAACAAGGAACCCUUCUGUUUAGCUGUCUGGGAGGGUUUGGGACACCUCUUUGCUCUGGCAAUGCAGAUCACGGCUGCCAUUUGCAGUGCUCUUUGUGCUACAUGAGGUACUUCAACCAAAUUCAGUGGCAGAGUAUUCCAAGUGAAGCGUAACCUGAAAGUGGUUGAAAUAAAACUAUGUCCCUUCCCAUAUCAGUAACCACUGCUAGAUUCCUUCCUAAGAGCAGCUUUUUAUUUUUUGCUUAUGGCAGAUAAAGCUACUGUUGACACUACAUGUUUUUUGGGCAACCACACCUCGCUGCUCAAGGAAGAUCAAGAACGAUUGAUGGCAAAGGAAGGUUUGUACUCAUAUAAACAUUAAGUAAGGAACUUGAAAAGCUAAAACUAGCACUGAGAGUUUUUUAAAUGGUGAAAACAAUUCAGCCUUUAAAGCUCACGAGUUAAGAAAAUGCUACAGGUUUGGCUUUUCUCUGACAAAUUCACGGGGAACCUCUGUGUACUUCAAGGAACUGAUCUGCACUGACUUAUUCAGUGCUCUUUCCUUUGAUAAAAGGAUUAUUAACAAGGUAGAAGCAACUGCACGGUGCUGUUCGGUGCUCCUCUGGCACACAGAGCAACCUGCAUUCUCAGUUCUACUUGGUCCAAAUUAUUUGGGCUGAAAGAAAGAUAAAAGUCGGUCCGCUGGGACUGCAACUUCAAUGUUACUCUCAGAAAGCCAAAGUCAAUGUUGUUUUUGGGAUCGUAACAGAAGUUCAACUACCUUUUCCCAAACACUGGCAUUCCAAAGAAUGGGAAUGAAAUUUUGAGGGAAAAGGUAAAAAAAAAAAAAAAAGGAAGCUGUGGGGAACAACUUAAGUGUUUUAGACUGAAGGGAAAUUCACAUAAAGACAACUGAAACUUAAACAGGAAACAACAAAGAUUUAAAUAACUAAUCAGCGAUUGAGGUAACUGUGCUGACUUGCAGUUCUCUCACAGUACUGCUACCUAAUCCUUACCAAUUCAUGUCACAAUGUACGAGUGCUUCAAUUUUGCAAAUGCAAGAUUAAAAACAAUUAACAAAAUGGGACCUGGAAAUUAUUCUAUUAUUACUAUUAUUUCAGCUGCUUCUGAAUGAACUACAGUGUCAGUCCAUACGGUUAAGGCAUUUCAUGUCACAAAUAUUAGGAUAUAACAGUCCUGGACAGCCUCUGAUAUACCUUAGUCUGUACUAUUUUAUUCAAACAAUUUUCAGAGGCAAAACUAAGCUUACUCUUGACAGUGAAUUCAUUACAUGUAAAUUUCCACCUUUCCUUGUUUAUAAAGGAAGAAAACUUGCACCUUCUUUCAAAAGACAUGCAUGUUUUGAGGGUCUACUGAGAUUGCAUUUGACUUGGAAAGACACUCCAGUGAAGAAGUUAAAAAAACCCAUCGAUAUAUAUUCCAGCAUCUUGAAAGUAAUAAAAGCACAAACUUCACACUGACCUUUGUUAGAACUCCAACACUCUACAUGUUUAUUUUAGCUUUAGGUUAGCCAGGAAAUGGUGUACUGCUCUUACUGUACUAAAAAAAACCACCUGAAACAGUUCUUGAUUCUUUCAGGUCAGGGAACCAAUUACAUAAAAAAAAAACCCAAAAACAUACUACCAGUUAACACUGGCUGCCGGAUCA